This 30-nucleotide non-coding RNA is filed under the name Mus musculus (house mouse). The record is from RNAcentral. Lineage: Eukaryota; Metazoa; Chordata; Mammalia; Rodentia; Muridae.
UGUACAAGACAAAAGGAAAAACAAACCCUC